CACGGGGGGAGCAAGCGUUGUUCGGAAUCACUGGGCGUAAAGGGCGUGUAGGCGGUUCAGUAAGUGGGAUGUGAAAUCCCCCGGCUCACCCGGGGACCUGCAUCCCAAACUGCUGGGCUUGAGUAUGGGAGAGGUUGAGGGAAUUCCUGGUGUAGCGGUGAAAUGCGUAGAUAUCAGGAGGAACAUCGGUGGCGAAAGCGGCCUUCUGGACGAGUACUGACGCUGAGACGCGAAAGCGUGGGUAGCAAACAGG
Molecule: ribosomal RNA, 253 nt
Filed under: uncultured bacterium
Lineage: Bacteria
Description: partial 16S ribosomal RNA
Rfam family: Bacterial small subunit ribosomal RNA
Source: RNAcentral